GAUGAACGCUGACAGAAUGCUUAACACAUGCAAGUCAACUUGAAUUUGGGUUUUUUAACUUCGAUUUGGGUGGCGGACGGGUGAGUAACGCGUAAAGAACUUGCCUCACAGCUAGGGACAACAUUUGGAAACGAAUGCUAAUACCUGAUAUUAUGAUUAUAAGGCAUCUUAGAAUUAUGAAAGCUAUAUGCGCUGUGAGAGAGCUUUGCGUCCCAUUAGCUAGUUGGAGAGGUAACGGCUCACCAAGGCGAUGAUGGGUAGCCGGCCUGAGAGGGUGAACGGCCACAAGGGGACUGAGACACGGCCAUUACUCCUACGGGAGGCAGCAGUGGGGAAUAUUGGACAAUGGACCAAGAGUCUGAUCCAGCAAUUCUGUGUGCACGAUGACGUUUUUCGGAAUGUAAAGUGCUUUCAGUUGGGAAGAAAAAAAUGACGGUACCAACAGAAGAAGUGACGGCUAAAUACGUG
RNAcentral lists this ribosomal RNA (468 nucleotides) under uncultured bacterium. Its description in RNAcentral is "partial 16S ribosomal RNA". It matches the Rfam family "Bacterial small subunit ribosomal RNA", at positions 28 to 507 of the family's 1533-position model. The record is from RNAcentral.